Molecule: unclassified non-coding RNA, 201 nt
Filed under: Hevea brasiliensis (rubber tree)
Lineage: Eukaryota; Viridiplantae; Streptophyta; Magnoliopsida; Malpighiales; Euphorbiaceae
Source: RNAcentral
GCACUUCAGAAAGAAAGAAGAGCUAAUUCUGUAGAUAGCAGAAUAAGCACUCCUAACCCAGGAUUAAUAUCACAGAGUUCUGACCUAUCUGACAUUACAGAAUCUCCCAAAUCCUGCAAUCUGAGUGUAAGUCAAACUUCGAAUGAGACAACAUGUAUGUAUUUUCACGUUGUAGCUAUAGACUCUGGGGUUCCCCGAAGA